GAUGAACGCUGGCGGCGUGCUUAACACAUGCAAGUCGAACGGAAAGGCUCUUGCUUGCUGGGGUACUCGAGUGGCGAACGGGUGAGUAACACGUGGGUGACCUGCCCUUCACUUCGGGAUAAGCUCGGGAAACUGGGUCUAAUACCGGAUAGGACGCUGGUCUGGAUGGCAUUGUGGAAAGUUUUUCGGUGUGGGUUGAGCUGCCGGCUUCUUAGCAUGUUGGUGGGGUAUUGGCCUACCAAGGCGUCGACGGCUAGCCGGCCUGCGAGGGUGGACGGCCACAUUGGGACUGAGAUACGGCCCAGACUCCUACGGGAGGCAGCAGUGGGGAAUAGUGCACAAUGGGCGUAAGCCUGAUGCAGCGACGCCGCGUGGGGGAGGACGGCCUUCGGGUUGUAAACCGCUUUCGCCCGUGACGAAGCGGGAGUGACGGUACUUGGGGAAGAAGCACCGGCUAACUACGUG
RNAcentral lists this ribosomal RNA (465 nucleotides) under uncultured bacterium. RNAcentral's name for it is "partial 16S ribosomal RNA". It matches the Rfam family "Bacterial small subunit ribosomal RNA", at positions 28 to 507 of the family's 1533-position model. The record is from RNAcentral.